CGCCUGCCCUGUGACAAAGGUUUAACGGCCGCGGUAUUUUGACCGUGCAAAGGUAGCGCAAUCACUUGUCCUUUAAAUGAAGACCUGUAUGAAUGGCAUCACGAGGGCUUAACUGUCUCCUUUUUCCAGUCAAUGAAAUUGAUCCCCCCGUGCAGAAGCGGGGAUAAAACCAUAAGACGAGAAGACCCUAUGAAGCUUUAGACACAAAACAGAUCUUGUUAAACACUUCAAAAUAAAGAAACAAACUAAAAGAAUGCUGUCCUGAUGUCUUUGGUUGGGGCGACCACGGGGAAACGAAAAACCCCCAUGCGGACUGAGAAAACAAUUUCUCACAACCAAGAGCCACAGCUCUAGUUAACAGAAUUUCUGACCUUUAGAUCCGGCAAUGCCGAUCAACGGACCGAGUUACUCUAGGGAUAACAGCGCAAUCCUCUUUUAGAGUUCCUAUCGACAAGAGGGUUUACGACCUCGAUGUUGGAUCAGGACAUCCUAAUGGUGCAGCAGCUAUUAAGGGUUCGUUUGUUCAACGAUUAAAGUCCU
This 540-nucleotide ribosomal RNA is filed under the name Betta burdigala. RNAcentral's name for it is "partial 16S ribosomal RNA". It matches the Rfam family "Bacterial large subunit ribosomal RNA", at positions 1856 to 2597 of the family's 2925-position model. The record is from RNAcentral. Lineage: Eukaryota; Metazoa; Chordata; Actinopteri; Anabantiformes; Osphronemidae.